This 425-nucleotide ribosomal RNA is filed under the name uncultured bacterium. RNAcentral describes it as "bacterial SSU rRNA". It matches the Rfam family "Bacterial small subunit ribosomal RNA", at positions 29 to 464 of the family's 1533-position model. The record is from RNAcentral.
AAUGAACGUUGGCGGCGUGGAUUAGGCAUGCAAGUCGAGCGAGAAGGUUCCCUUCGGGGAACUGGACAGCGGCAAACGGGGUAGUAAGGCAUCGGUAACGUACCCCCAGGACCGGGAUAGCCGUGGGAAACCGCGGGUAAUACCGGAUAAUAUCUCCGGAUCAAAUGGUGAGAUUCCGCCUGGGGACCGGCUGAUGUGAUACCAGCUUGUUGGUGAGGUAACGGCUCACCAAGGCUCAGACGUCUAGGGGGUGUGAGAGCAUGGCCCCCACCACUGGGACUGAGACACUGCCCAGACAUCUACGGAUGGCUGCAGUCGAGAAUCUUCGGCAAUGGGCGAAAGCCUGACCGAGCGACGCCGCGUGCGGGAUGACGGCCCUUGGGUUGUAAACCGCUGUCAGAGGGGAUGAAUUAGGAAGCUAUCUU